CUACUUACGUGGCAGGAGAGAUACCAUAAUCAUGAAGGUGGGUUUCUCAGCGUGAGGCUUAUCCAUUGUAUUGUGGGUGUGUUGACCCCUGUACUUUUCCUAAAUGUAGGAAGCUUGACUACACAAUCUGUGAUAAUAGGGGACUAUGUUCAUGCUUUCUCCUG
Small nuclear RNA from Gopherus evgoodei (Goodes thornscrub tortoise), 164 nucleotides. Its record names the gene U1. It matches the Rfam family "U1 spliceosomal RNA". From Rfam's summary of the family: U1 is a small nuclear RNA (snRNA) component of the spliceosome (involved in pre-mRNA splicing). Lineage: Eukaryota; Metazoa; Chordata; Testudines; Testudinidae. The record is from Ensembl.